RNAcentral lists this ribosomal RNA (168 nucleotides) under actinobacterium enrichment culture clone YFZ7. RNAcentral's name for it is "partial 16S ribosomal RNA". It matches the Rfam family "Bacterial small subunit ribosomal RNA", at positions 339 to 498 of the family's 1533-position model. The record is from RNAcentral. Lineage: Bacteria; Bacillati; Actinomycetota; Actinomycetes.
CUACGGGAGGCAGCAGUAGGGAAUCUUCGGCAAUGGAAGAAAGUCUGACCGAGCAACGCCGCGUGAGUGAAGAAGGUUUUCGGAUCGUAAAACUCUGUUGUUAGAGAAGCAAUGUUGAUUAGAGUGGAAAAUUAAUCAAGUGACGGUUCUAACCAGAAUGACGUUCCG